RNAcentral lists this ribosomal RNA (497 nucleotides) under uncultured bacterium. RNAcentral's name for it is "partial 16S ribosomal RNA". It matches the Rfam family "Bacterial small subunit ribosomal RNA", at positions 28 to 507 of the family's 1533-position model. The record is from RNAcentral.
GAUGAACGCUGGCGGCGUGCCUAAUACAUGCAAGUCGAGCGAACAGAUGAGGAGCUUGCUCCUCUGACGUUAGCGGCGGACGGGUGAGUAACACGUGGAUAACCUACCUAUAAGACUAGGAUAACUUCGGGAAACCGGAGCUAAUACCGGAUAAUAUAUUGAACCGCAUGGUUCAAUAGUGAAAGACGGUUUUGCUGUCACUUAUAGAUGGAUCCGCGCCGCAUUAGCUAGUUGGUAAGGUAACGGCUUACCAAGGCAACGAUGCGUAGCCGACCUGAGAGGGUGAUCGGCCACACUGGAACUGAGACACGGUCCAGACUCCUACGGGAGGCAGCAGUAGGGAAUCUUCCGCAAUGGGUGAAAGCCUGACGGAGCAACGCCGCGUGAGUGAUGAAGGUCUUCGGAUCGUAAAACUCUGUUAUUAGGGAAGAACAAAUGUGUAAGUAACUAUGCACGUCUUGACGGUACCUAAUCAGAAAGCCACGGCUAACUACGUG